Long non-coding RNA from Esox lucius (northern pike), 1298 nucleotides. The record is from Ensembl. Lineage: Eukaryota; Metazoa; Chordata; Actinopteri; Esociformes; Esocidae.
CGCAUUUUCAACGUCUUGGGCUAGUAGGACUUAAUCCUGCUGAUACUAUGCGGUCGAAUUAUUUAACUUGAAGCACUUUUUAACAAUCCCAUGAGUUUCCAACGUACACUUUAACUCAGCCUGUCUCAAUCUGCCUCUUCACAGCAAGGUGUACCUGCUCCCGGAUAAAAUCAACCCUCUCAUCUGCCAACGCUGCCACUGUCUUGGUGUCUUGGGGAACGCGCACCCCUACAUUAGUGCUGCCCUCGGUCAUGGGUCUGGAAGGGAGGUUGGAUUUUAGUAGAGAAAGGCUACAGUAUUAAGUCUGCAUCGGUGACGGACCAAGGGAAGGUUAGAGUGAGAGUACUGUAGCUAGCUGAGAGAGAUAUGGAGAGAAGGACUGAACGACACUGCGACCCGUGGACAAAAGACAACAAGCACAAUCAAGACAAAAUUUAAAGCGUAGGCUGCCAUAGUUUACCUACCUUGAAAACGAAUGCUAACGCAAAAGUAAAUAACGUUUAACGCCCAGAUCAACCCAGUUCCAGCAACUGUGAAACACUCAAAGUUGAAUAUCCAUGUAUGUAGACCUAAGAGGAUAGUCGAUUAGAGCCUCUAAGUUCUGAUGACAGGCGAGGAGGUAAGCUGAUACCAGACCAGGAGAGCCUGGCACCUGAUACCACGGCAACCCAAGGGGACAGAUCUCAGUGCACUUUCCACCUGCCACAGCCGGAUGGAACAGCAGCCCCCAUGGGACCUGUUUUCAGACACUGACACACACUAUUCUCACCACAUGAGGGCAGUGUGGGAUAACGUUUAGCAGAAGUGUCUUAGCUGUAGUCCAAAGUGACCCGAACCAUGAAAUCCUAUUAGAUAUGAUACAGCAUUUAUGGAAAAACAAGGGAAAUUCUGACAUUUUUAUAACUGUGUUGCUUAAAAUACCAUGAUUCUGAUUAACCUUUUAAAGCAUACCCAUCUUGGCUGGGACUGUAAGACAUAGAUAAAAUAAAGAAAUCAUAUGAGAUGGGAAGAUUGUGGAUGAUAAUGCUAUCAGUGAUCAUUGGCAUUUGAGUCAGAAUCUACUGUUGUUUUUUAGAAACUAUAGAUAAAUGUAGCUCAUUGGUCCCAAGGCAAUGCAACGUUUUAAACCUCUGGUUAUCCACAGAAGCCCAGUGUUAAUCCACAGUAUUCCUGGAUAAAAUGAAACAUAUUUAUUAUGUGGACCUUUUCACUUGCUAUUGGACAUGUGGCCUUAUAAUUAAUGCCUCUAUUUUAUCAGUCUGUAGUCACUUAACUCAUUGAAGUUUAGGUAAAGAGAA